GAUGAACGCUGGCGGCGUGCCUAAUACAUGCAAGUCGAGCGAACAGACGAGGAGCUUGCUCCUCUGACGUUAGCGGCGGACGGGUGAGUAACACGUGGAUAACCUACCUAUAAGACUGGGAUAACUUCGGGAAACCGGAGCUAAUACCGGAUAAUAUAUUGAACCGCAUGGUUCAAUAGUGAAAGACGGUUUUGCUGUCACUUAUAGAUGGAUCCGCGCCGCAUUAGCUAGUUGGUAAGGUAACGGCUUACCAAGGCAACGAUGCGUAGCCGACCUGAGAGGGUGAUCGGCCACACUGGAACUGAGACACGGUCCAGACUCCUACGGGAGGCAGCAGUAGGGAAUCUUCCGCAAUGGGCGAAAGCCUGACGGAGCAACGCCGCGUGAGUGAUGAAGGUCUUCGGAUCGUAAAACUCUGUUAUUAGGGAAGAACAAAUGUGUAAGUAACUAUGCACGUCUUGACGGUACCUAAUCAGAAAGCCACGGCUACCUACGUG
Molecule: ribosomal RNA, 497 nt
Filed under: uncultured bacterium
Lineage: Bacteria
Description: partial 16S ribosomal RNA
Rfam family: Bacterial small subunit ribosomal RNA
Source: RNAcentral